Molecule: long non-coding RNA, 2669 nt
Organism: Drosophila ficusphila
Lineage: Eukaryota; Metazoa; Arthropoda; Insecta; Diptera; Drosophilidae
Exons: 7
Source: RefSeq, a predicted model, not a curated record
AUCCCUUCUUUUCUAGCACGCGUUGUGUAAAGUUCACAAAAUGGGAAGUCUGAAUAAAUUGAUUGGCUUACCGUUGGAAAUACAGGAUUUAAUCUUCCAUUAUCUUGACAAAGUGGAGGACAAGCUGAAUUUAGCAAAAGUGGACAAAGUGUUUGAGGCCGCCUUUAAGCACCACUGCCGCAAUAAAUUUGAGACUUUAGAUGUAGAAAAAGUUCGAUAUCGACUUUGGCCAGUUCUUCUAUCGCUUUGCGGGGAAACAGUUUUAAAUAUCAAUGUUGUUAGGUACGAGAAUAUCCUCCCACCGUUCGAGUACAUUGAGCGAUAUUGCCCCAACUUGCGCUUUAUCCGCUUGUAUCUGAAGUCGCGCAAUCGCGGAGUUGUGCGUAACUUCAUGAGGAACAUGCCAAGCGUUAGGCAUCUUGACAUUUGCGUCAUUAACGCAUCUUCCAAACUUCUAAGAUUUCUUCAAGACCUUCCCAAUUUGGAAAAAGUUAGGAUUCUAAAUCGAUUCGGUUCUGAAUGCGAUGUCCUUAUGACCACAUGGUUUGACGAUAUUUCUUUGGAGGAUUACCCGGCAGCCUUGCCAAAGCCAAUAAAUCUCCAUACUACCUUUGCCCCACUGAAAAAUCUUAAGUUUUUGGAGUUGCGUGGCCUAAAUUUGUGUUAUACGGAAGACAAUGAAGAGUCGAGCUUUCCGGCCUUGGCAGAACUGCGGAUUCACUAUUGUGCCAUAAUAUCCGAUUUGCCACGCUUCGCAAAGCUGACAUCCUUGUGUGUUGUGAAUCCAGCAAGGCUCGACGACCAGAACAAAUGGGUUCUGAAACACACGGUCAAUUCGGAAAAGUGGAUGUUACGCCUCGAUGACACAAUUGUUGUGGACAUAAUAAGACGUCUUCAAAAUCUUCUGCUUUGCCCCUCUUCCAAAAAUUAAAUUUUAUUCUCACAUAUAGGAUUUCAAAGAUCACAUUCCUCAUGGAAGGGAAUCAAUCUUUAAAAAUCAGUAUUUUUCGUAUAACUAUUGUUUAACAACAAGCUUACAAACUCUUGAUCCACCCCGCAUAUAUUUAGUGGAGGACUAUAAUAAUCAACUUUCAAAUAAACAAAUUUUAUUCUCACAUAAAGGAUUUCAAAGACCACAUUCGUCGUGAGGGGAAUGUAAUCCUUUUCCUCUAACGGCUUUCAAGUAUUUGUUUAUUAUAAUAAUAAUCAGUAUUAUACUAAUAUACUAUUGUUUAUUAACAAAUAGGUUGCUUGCUUUAUUCUCUUUUAUACUUUUACACAACAAUGAAUAUAGUUUUUUAAGAAAAUAACCAUUUUUAUGUCUUGAAUACCAAGGAGACUUACAAAGUCCAGAUCCACCCCGCAUACAUUUAGUGAACGACUAAAAUAAACAAGUGGCGUUUUAAAAGCUGUUUGGCAAUAUAUCUGGCCGACAGUGGUACCGCCUCUUUGAAAAAGGCAGCUUUUGCAACAUUGCAAACAAUUCACACCUCCAAUUGAUUGAGAGCGCAUAUUUUAGUCUAGAUUUUUGCAUAAAACGAAAUUGGCUUUUUCACCUUAUUGAUGUUUUUGUUGCACAAGCAAGCUGGGAAAACAAUCCCCUAAAAAUAAAUAACCUUCGACCGCUGAAUUUCAUUUAACAGCCAGAGUCGUGUGGUCCUUUUGAAAUCGUAAUUUGUUUUUUGAAUAAUUUAAGAAUUGCAUCAAAAUGAUGGCAUUGCAAAAAUGUAUUUAUUUUAAAAGUUUAAUAAUUUCAAACAAUGGUUUAACGACGUAAAGCAAAAACUAAAAAGGGAAAGAGCUUGAACAAAUAACUCAAGAACAAGCUGAAGUUUUGAUCCUGCUGUUUACCACUUUGUUCAACUUUAACUCAACCAAUCUUCUGAAAACAAUAACGUUCGACUAGUUAAGAGAGCAGGUGAUCUUUUAAUAAAGAGCAAGUUACCAAGAAGCCAUUUUAGUCUCGUAAAAACGUCAGGCGAUCCACACAAGUAAUAUAGACCACUUUAUAGACACAAAAGCUUCCAGUUCACACCAAUUUAAUUAAGAAAUUUAGCGACUUCUGAGCCCAUUCGAGAGCUGUUCGCUCUCAUAAUUUGUUUUUUUUGCCGACUAAAUCGCCUUUCAACCGCAAUCACAACAAAAGACGCCAACAGAAACACAGGAUUCGCAUUAAAACCAAAAUCAGUAUCCACGGAUCCGUGGUCGUGUAAGAAAAGCCCCGAUGGAGUGGGAUUUAAUAUGGUGCGAUUUGGCAUGAGUCAUUCGGCUGUUCAGUGUAUAUAGUAGACCCUCUAGAAGUCGAAACCAUUCCGCUGAAAAUCAUCUUGGGAGCUUUUGGGGACAGACUACAGGGCCAGGGUCGCCAUCGCAUUUGCUGUCUAACUACCUGAACGUGGCCAGCGAUCUUCGAGGGACUUGCUAAUCAUAUCGAGCCACGAAUUGUUGAUCAUUUAACUAUGUGGCGAACUGCAAGAUUUGCUGGAUGACUCACGGACUGCAGGUAGAUGGCCUUUUGGUCCAGUCUAGACCCAGUUGGAGUCGUUUUCGCAUACUCUGAAUGUCUGAAAGUCCCACAAGCCAUCAACAAAAACUUCAAGCACUAACUUAGAUAUAUAAAAUAUUUGUAAUGCUUAUUUAAUAUUUUUAAUACAUUUUAUUGGAUAACA